GAUAAACGCUGGCGGCGUGCCUAACACAUGCAAGUCGAACGCCCUACGCUUGCGUAGGGAGUGGCGGACGGGUGAGGAACACGUGGGUCAUCUACCCAGAGGUGAGGAAUACCGGCGAGAAAUCGCCGACAAUACCGCAUACGUUCUGAAAAGAACAAAGUCGCAAGACGCCUUUGGAUGAGCCUGCGCCCGAUUAGUUAGUUGGUGGGGUAAAAGCCUACCAAGACUGCAAUCGGUAGCUGGUCUGAGAGGACGAUCAGCCACACUGGGAUUGAGAACGGCCCAGACUCCUACGGGGGGC
RNAcentral lists this ribosomal RNA (301 nucleotides) under uncultured bacterium. Its description in RNAcentral is "bacterial SSU rRNA". It matches the Rfam family "Bacterial small subunit ribosomal RNA", at positions 28 to 349 of the family's 1533-position model. The record is from RNAcentral.